Molecule: ribosomal RNA, 468 nt
Filed under: uncultured bacterium
Lineage: Bacteria
Description: partial 16S ribosomal RNA
Rfam family: Bacterial small subunit ribosomal RNA
Source: RNAcentral
GACGAACGCUGGCGGCGUGCUUAACACAUGCAAGUCGAACGGAAAGGCCCUGCUUUUGUGGGGUGCUCGAGUGGCGAACGGGUGAGUAACACGUGAGAAACCUGCCCUUGACUUUGGGAUAACUUCAGGAAGCUGGGGCUAAUACCGCAUAGGAGCUACUGCUGCGUGGGGGGGGUUGGAAGGUUUAGGCGGUUGGGGUUGGACUCGCGGCUUAGCAGCUUGUUUGUGGGGUAGUGGCUUGGCAAGGCUUCGUCGGGUGGUCGGCCGGGGAGGGGGGCCGGCCAUACUGGGCCUGCGACUCGGCCCAGAAGCCUACGGGAGGCAGGAGUGGGGAAUAUUGCCCUAUUGGCGGAAGCCUGAGGCAGCAACGCCGCGUGUGGGAUGGCGGCCUUCGGGUUGUAGACCGCUUGCGCCUGGGAUGAAGCGGUAGUGACGGUAAUGGGUAAAGAAGCACCGGCUAACUACGUG